Erinaceus europaeus (western European hedgehog) is the source of this 105-nucleotide small nuclear RNA. The record is from Ensembl. NCBI's taxonomy places the organism in Eukaryota, Metazoa, Chordata, Mammalia, Eulipotyphla, Erinaceidae.
UUUAUCAUUUAAAAUAAAAUGAGAAAACUGUGGACAAUACAGAGAAGAUUAGCAUGGUUCAUUCACAAGGGAAACAGGCAAAUUUAUUAAGCUUUCAUAUUUUAU